AUUGAACGCUGGCGGCAUGCCUUACACAUGCAAGUCGAACGGCAGCACGGGAGCUUGCUCCUGGUGGCGAGUGGCGAACGGGUGAGUAAUACAUCGGAACGUACCCUGAAGUGGGGGAUAACGUAGCGAAAGUUACGCUAAUACCGCAUAUUCUGUGAGCAGGAAAGAGGGGGAUCGCAAGACCUCUUGCUUUAGGAGCGGCCGAUGUCGGAUUAGCUAGUCGGUGAGGUAAAGGCUCACCAAGGCGACGAUCCGUAGCGGGUCUGAGAGGAUGAUCCGCCACACUGGGACUGAGACACGGCCCAGACUCCUACGGGAGGCAGCAGUGGGGAAUUUUGGACAAUGGGCGCAAGCCUGAUCCAGCCAUGCCGCGUGAGUGAAGAAGGCCUU
This 390-nucleotide ribosomal RNA is filed under the name uncultured bacterium. RNAcentral's name for it is "bacterial SSU rRNA". It matches the Rfam family "Bacterial small subunit ribosomal RNA", at positions 30 to 418 of the family's 1533-position model. The record is from RNAcentral.